RNAcentral lists this ribosomal RNA (430 nucleotides) under Pseudomonadota bacterium. RNAcentral describes it as "Proteobacteria bacterium partial 16S ribosomal RNA". It matches the Rfam family "Bacterial small subunit ribosomal RNA", at positions 355 to 776 of the family's 1533-position model. Lineage: Bacteria; Pseudomonadati; Pseudomonadota. The record is from RNAcentral.
UGGGGAAUAUUGGACAAUGGGGGGAACCCUGAUCCAGCCAUGCCGCGUGUGUGACGAAGGCCUUAUGGUUGUAAAGCACUUUAAGCGAGGAGGAGGGUACAGGUAUUAAUACUACCAGGUACUGGACGUUACUCGCAGAAUCAGCACCGGCUAACUUUGUGCCAGCAGCCGCGGUAAUACAGAGGGUGCGAGCGUUAAUCGUAGUUACUGGGCGUAAAGCGUGCGUAGGCGGCUUAUUGAGUCGGAUGUGAAAUCCCCGGGCUUAACUUGGGGAUUGCAUUCGAUACUGGUUAGCUAGAGUGUGGGAGAGGAUGGUAGAAUUCCAGGUGUAGCGGUGAAAUGCGUAGAGAUCUGGAGGAAUACCGAUGGCGAAGGCAGCCAUCUGGCCUAACACUGACGCUGAGGUACGAAAGCAUGGGGAGCAAACAGG